AAGAUCAAGUGUAGUAUCUGUUCUUAUCAGUUUAAUAUCUGAUACGUCCCCUACCCGGGGACCAUAUAUUAAAUUGAGUUUUGGAAUAGGGAGAUGGAAUAGGGGCUUGCUCCGUCCACUCCACACAUUGACCUGGUAUUGCAGUACCUUCACGAACGGUACACCCCCC
This 169-nucleotide small nuclear RNA is filed under the name Kryptolebias marmoratus (mangrove rivulus). RNAcentral describes it as "U2 spliceosomal RNA (ENSKMAG00000013975.1)". It matches the Rfam family "U2 spliceosomal RNA", at positions 23 to 192 of the family's 192-position model. From Rfam's summary of the family: U2 is a small nuclear RNA (snRNA) component of the spliceosome (involved in pre-mRNA splicing). Complementary binding between U2 snRNA (in an area lying towards the 5' end but 3' to hairpin I) and the branchpoint sequence (BPS) of the intron results the bulging out of an unpaired adenosine, on the BPS, which initiates a nucleophilic attack at the intronic 5' splice site, thus starting the first of two transesterification reactions that mediate splicing. The record is from RNAcentral. Lineage: Eukaryota; Metazoa; Chordata; Actinopteri; Cyprinodontiformes; Rivulidae.